GGACGGGUGAGUAACGCGUGGGAACGUGCCCUUCUCUGCGGAAUAGCCACUGGAAACGGUGAGUAAUACCGCAUACGCCCUUCGGGGGAAAGAUUUAUCGGAGAAGGAUCGGCCCGCGUUAGAUUAGGUAGUUGGUGGGGUAAUGGCCUACCAAGCCUACGAUCUAUAGCUGGUUUGAGAGGAUGAUCAGCCACACUGGGACUGAGACACGGCCCAGACUCCUACGGGAGGCAGCAGUGGGGAAUCUUAGACAAUGGGCGCAAGCCUGAUCUAGCCAUGCCGCGUGAGUGAUGAAGGCCUUAGGGUCGUAAAGCUCUUUCGCUGGGGAAGAUAAUGACUGUACCCAGUAAAGAAACCCCGGCUAACUCCGUGCCAGCAGCCGCGGUAAUACGGAGGGGGUUAGCGUUGUUCGGAAUUACUGGGCGUAAAGCGCGCGUAGGCGGAUCAGAAAGUUGGGGGUGAAAUCCCGGGGCUCAACCUCGGAACUGCCUCCAAAACUCCUGGUCUUGAGUUCGAGAGAGGUGAGUGGAAUUCCGAGUGUAGAGGUGAAAUUCGUAGAUAUUCGGAGGAACACCAGUGGCGAAGGCGGCUCACUGGC
This 598-nucleotide ribosomal RNA is filed under the name Salipiger thiooxidans. Its description in RNAcentral is "bacterial SSU rRNA". It matches the Rfam family "Bacterial small subunit ribosomal RNA", at positions 100 to 733 of the family's 1533-position model. The record is from RNAcentral. Lineage: Bacteria; Pseudomonadati; Pseudomonadota; Alphaproteobacteria; Rhodobacterales; Roseobacteraceae.